RNAcentral lists this long non-coding RNA (300 nucleotides) under Medicago truncatula (barrel medic). Its description in RNAcentral is "long non-coding RNA (MTRU_LNC002150)". Lineage: Eukaryota; Viridiplantae; Streptophyta; Magnoliopsida; Fabales; Fabaceae. The record is from RNAcentral.
UCUUUGUUUUUUACUAGAUCUUUAGUUUGAAUAUGGAAGUCAAUUAAGAGAAAAGAAGAAAUGCAUCACGUAUCAAUUAGAAUAUAUAUGAAGGAUUUCUAUUACCAAGUUUAAAUCUAACCAAUUUCAUCCCCCCUUUUCUUUUAUUUUAAUCUCUCAAUUUCAACUUUUUCUAUCUAUUUAUUAUUCUUUGGUUAACAUUUCUUAUGUUGCUGUUUUACUUUUAAUAUUUUGAUCUUUUAUAUUUUCUUUUGUCAAUUAUAUUCUAUUUUUCUUUUCUUUUUUUAACUUUAUAAUCAG